This 561-nucleotide ribosomal RNA is filed under the name Stenotrophomonas sp. C2-5(2015). RNAcentral's name for it is "bacterial SSU rRNA". It matches the Rfam family "Bacterial small subunit ribosomal RNA", at positions 137 to 692 of the family's 1533-position model. The record is from RNAcentral. Lineage: Bacteria; Pseudomonadati; Pseudomonadota; Gammaproteobacteria; Lysobacterales; Lysobacteraceae.
UGGGGGAUAACGUAGGGAAACUUACGCUAAUACCGCAUACGACCUACGGGUGAAAGCAGGGGACCUUCGGNCCUUGCGCGAUUGAAUGAGCCGAUGUCGGAUUAGCUAGUUGGCGGGGUAAAGGCCCACCAAGGCGACGAUCCGUAGCUGGUCUGAGAGGAUGAUCAGCCACACUGGAACUGAGACACGGUCCAGACUCCUACGGGAGGCAGCAGUGGGGAAUAUUGGACAAUGGGCGCAAGCCUGAUCCAGCCAUACCGCGUGGGUGAAGAAGGCCUUCGGGUUGUAAAGCCCUUUUGUUGGGAAAGAAAUCCAGCCGGCUAAUACCUGGUUGGGAUGACGGUACCCAAAAGAAUAAGCACCGGCUAACUUCGUGCCAGCAGCCGCGGUAAUACGAAGGGUGCAAGCGUUACUCGGAAUUACUGGGCGUAAAGCGUGCGUAGGUGGUUGUUUAAGUCUGUUGUGAAAGCCCUGGGCUCAACCUGGGAACUGCAGUGGAAACUGGACAACUAGAGUGUGGUAGAGGGUAGCGGAAUUCCCGGUGUAGCAGUGAAAUGCGUA